UACGGAGGGAGCUAGCGUUAUUCGGAAUUACUGGGCGUAAAGCGCACGUAGGCGGCUUUGUAAGUAAGAGGUGAAAGCCCAGAGCUCAACUCUGGAAUUGCCUUUUAGACUGCAUCGCUUGAAUCAUGGAGAGGUCAGUGGAAUUACGAGUGUAGGGGUGAAAUUCGUAGAUAUUCGGAAGAACAACAGUGGCGAAGGCGGCUGACUGGACAUGUAUUGACGCUGAGGUGCGAAAGCGUGGGGAGCAAACAGG
This 253-nucleotide ribosomal RNA is filed under the name uncultured bacterium. Its description in RNAcentral is "partial 16S ribosomal RNA". It matches the Rfam family "Bacterial small subunit ribosomal RNA", at positions 524 to 776 of the family's 1533-position model. The record is from RNAcentral.